This 65-nucleotide transfer RNA is filed under the name Dipodomys ordii (Ord's kangaroo rat). It matches the Rfam family "tRNA". Rfam says of the family: Transfer RNA (tRNA) molecules are approximately 80 nucleotides in length. The record is from Rfam by way of RNAcentral. Lineage: Eukaryota; Metazoa; Chordata; Mammalia; Rodentia; Heteromyidae.
GGUGGCUCAGUGGUAGAGUGCUUGCCUUGCAAGCGAGAGGCCUUGGGUUCGAUUCCUCAGCACCA